This is a long non-coding RNA of Triticum aestivum (bread wheat), 399 nucleotides long. RefSeq lists it as uncharacterized. The record is from RefSeq and is a predicted model, not a curated record. The transcript is spliced from 5 exons. Lineage: Eukaryota; Viridiplantae; Streptophyta; Magnoliopsida; Poales; Poaceae.
AUUUGCAACUUUCUUCUUGAGCAAGCUGAAACAAAAGUGCUGCUCCAUCUAUCGGUUGCAGCUACAGCAUGAGCCCCUCUUUAGAUAGAUGGAUGGAAUUAUAUACUACGAAGUCUUUCUGUGAGGAAGCUUUUGUCAGAAUGUUUCUUUUACAAGAAAACAAAGUUGCACUGAUUUGACAAGGACGGGGGCAGUGGAAGGAGCGUGGCAUGGGUACAGUCAGGCUUCUCAAACGGACAACCAAGGUCCGCCUUGUCAUGCGACAUGCCAAGAGCCUCAGGAUCUGCGGCAAGCACCUUGAGUUUGCAGCUCAUACUACAUAGGAGGACAUAGCAUGAAGAGGGCGAUGACCCUUGGGCGCUUUCCACGGGAUUAAGGGCUUGGACGUCGUCGUCGUCC